This is a long non-coding RNA of Hyla sarda, 1027 nucleotides long. RefSeq lists it as uncharacterized. The transcript has 3 exons. The record is from RefSeq and is a predicted model, not a curated record. NCBI's taxonomy places the organism in Eukaryota, Metazoa, Chordata, Amphibia, Anura, Hylidae.
AUUUCCCACGGCAAUUAACCUCCAACUAUCAAUCAUCAUUGACACACAUUCUGCAUAUGGGCACACAAUUAACCCACUGACCUACAUAUGCUAAUUCAAGGAAAAGUAAGUUCAACCGAGCUAAAGUUCAUCACCCCCUCCCAGGAUCUGAUACAUGCUACUGGCCCCCCAUCCACUACCCAACCACAGUCCCUCUUGAAUAGCAAACAAUCAUAACAGUCAACUUGCCAUAGGCUUCACACAGCCUAUUGAUCUCCACAAGAAUUUUUUUUCUAAUGUUAAAGAUGGAUACAUACAAGGUUACAUCCAACAGACCUCCCCCCAGCGGACUGAAUUUGCCAAUGUAUAUAAGAAUAGAAUUGUACACUGUUUUAUAUGAACCUGAUGAAGAGGGGUGACCCCCUCGAAGCGUGUUGUUCUGCACCUCAAUAAAGCGUUAUUCUGUUACUUUUGGUAGCAGAAGUCGGAUUUUCCAUCAGACAUCUUGUUAGCUCUGCGGGGCUAUCCAGGUUCUGCACCUGCACAUCUGUACUCUACCGCUCGCACAGCGGGACCAACAGCCAGCUGCCGCCCGACUCUGCUAACUAUACCAAGCAUGAAUCAGUGUUGUGCCUGCCCACACAACACUAUAAGAUCUGCUCUAAUCAAAAAUACAUACAGAGUUAAAGCACAACAUUGAAAAACUACGUACCUCUAUUCUGCAAGUGAACUUAUCUAAGUUUGAAUGAGACACUAAGGAUUAUUUGUAUGAUAGAGUCUACACUUGGGCGAACGAAAGAAGACGCACCCGACACCUCAAUCGAGAGGCAAAGAAAGAUUUCGAAUGGUUUGAUGGAACGUCGACUGAUAGUGAACUAGGAUCCAAUAGUGAAACACAAGGUGUGAAUGCAUCUGUUUUUUUAGGCACACGCCCAAAGGACACAAGAGGAAGAAAAGCAGCAAAUGUGAACUUGUCAGGAGGAACACAGACCAGAGCUCAAAAGAAAAAGCUGACUUAGAGGAAGCUGAAAUCCACCCGAAAACCAUC